AUUGAACGCUGGCGGCAUGCUUUACACAUGCAAGUCGAACGGCAGCGCGGGCUUCGGCCUGGCGGCGAGUGGCGAACGGGUGAGUAAUGCAUCGGAACGUGCCCAGUAGUGGGGGAUAGCCCGGCGAAAGCCGGAUUAAUACCGCAUACGACCUGAGGGUGAAAGCGGGGGACCGAAAGGCCUCGCGCUAUUGGAGCGGCCGAUGUCGGAUUAGCUAGUUGGUGGGGUAAAGGCUUACCAAGGCGACGAUCCGUAGCUGGUCUGAGAGGACGACCAGCCACACUGGGACUGAGACACGGCCCAGACUCCUACGGGAGGCAGCAGUGGGGAAUUUUGGACAAUGGGGGCAAUCCUGAUCCAGCCAUGCCGCGUGCGGGAAGAAGGCCUUCGGGUUGUAAACCGCUUUUGUUCGGGAAGAAAUCCUCUGGGCUAAUACCCCGGGGGGAUGACGGUACCGGAAGAAUAAGCACCGGCUAACUACGUG
This 484-nucleotide ribosomal RNA is filed under the name uncultured bacterium. RNAcentral describes it as "partial 16S ribosomal RNA". It matches the Rfam family "Bacterial small subunit ribosomal RNA", at positions 28 to 507 of the family's 1533-position model. The record is from RNAcentral.